CCUACGGGAGGCAACGGGGCAAACCCAUCCUGGCUUGGGGUGGUGAUGGCGGGUGGAACGAAUACCUUCUCCAUCACCAACGGGACGGCCUCGCUUGACGUAGCGGCAGGCGCUACCCUUAACAUCGACAAGUCCUUGCAGGUCGCUACGGGGGCCGUCGUGAUUAACGGCAACGCGGGCGGUUCCAGCGUCCUUACCCUUCCCAACCAGACCCUUUCGCUUACCGGCACCUUCACGGACAGGAAAUACUGCCCCUACACAGCUUCCGGUACUGUCAUUAGUUGUAAUGCUGACGGAGGUGCCGCAGGGUCUAUUGCAACCGAUACCCUGUGGGAUGCAAAGGGUGAUUUGGCCGUAGGCACGGGAGCUAACACGGGCGGAAGGCUUGCCAUCGGGACAGACAAGCAGGUACUCGUUGUGUCCACGGAUACCCUUGUAGUC
Molecule: ribosomal RNA, 441 nt
Filed under: uncultured prokaryote
Description: partial 16S ribosomal RNA
Source: RNAcentral